GUGGCAUAGGCUAGGACAGGGUGCAGCAACCUUUUGGCACUCCAGCGCUGCUGUGAAACUACAACACCCAGCAUGCACACUUGCUCAGCUGUUCUUGUAACUCCCAAAGAAGUGAAAGGAGGAUACUGGGAGUUGUAGUUUCAGAACAGCUGGAGUGCCGGAGGUUGCUGAUCCCUGAUCUAGAGGCUGUCAUUAUGUGUUAUGCUUGAUCUUGCUAUAAAGGGGAGUU
Long non-coding RNA from Bufo bufo (common toad), 229 nucleotides. RefSeq lists it as uncharacterized. The record is from RefSeq and is a predicted model, not a curated record. NCBI's taxonomy places the organism in Eukaryota, Metazoa, Chordata, Amphibia, Anura, Bufonidae. The transcript is spliced from 3 exons.